Molecule: ribosomal RNA, 914 nt
Filed under: uncultured crenarchaeote
Lineage: Archaea; Thermoproteati; Thermoproteota
Description: SSU rRNA
Rfam family: Archaeal small subunit ribosomal RNA
Source: RNAcentral
UUCCGGUUGAUCCCGCCGGACCUGACUGCUAUCGGAUUGAUACUAAGCCAUGCGAGUCAUUGUAGCAAUACAAGGCAGACGGCUCAGUAACGCGUAGUCAACCUACCCUAUGGACGGGAAUAACCUCGGGAAACUGAGUAUAAUGCCCGAUAGAACACUAUACCUGGAAUGGUUUGUGUUCCAAAUGAUUUAUCGCCGUAGGAUGGGACUGCGGCCUAUCAGUUUGUUGGUGAGGUAAUGGCCCACCAAGACUAUUACAGGUACGGGCUCUGAGAGGAGUGGCCCGGAGAUGGGUACUGAGACACGGACCCAGGCCCUAUGGGGCGCAGCAGGCGAGAAAACUUUGCAAUGUGCGAAAGCACGACAAGGUUAAUCCGAGUGGUUUCUGCUAAAGGAACCUUUUGACAGUCCUAGAAACACUGUUGAAUAAGGGGUGGGCAAGUUCUGGUGUCAGCCGCCGCGGUAAAACCAGCACCUCAAGUGGUCAGGAUGAUUAUUGGGCCUAAAGCAUCCGUAGCCGGCUCUGUAAGUUUUCGGUUAAAUCUGUACGCUCAACGUACAGGCUGCUGGGAAUACUGCAGGGCUAGGGAGUGGGAGAGAUAGACGGUACUCGGGAGGAAGUGGUAAAAUGCUUUGAUCUCUCGAUGACCACCUGUGGCGAAGGCGGUCUAUCAGAACACGUCCGACGGUGAGGGAUGAAAGCUGGGGGAGCAAACCGGAUUAGAUACCCGGGUAGUCCCAGCUGUAAACUAUGCGAACUCAAUGAUGCAUUGACUUAUGGUCAAUGCAGUGUUGCAGGGAAGCCGUUAAGUUUGCCGCCUGGGAAGUACGUACGCAAGUAUGAAACUUAAAGGAAUUGGCGGGGGAGCACCACAAGGGGUGAAGCCUGCGGUUCAAUUGGAAUCAACGCCGGA